ACAUGCUGUGAGCUCGAUGAGUAGGGCGGGACACGUGGUAUCCUGUCUGAAUAUGGGGGGACCAUCCUCCAAGGCUAAAUACUCCUGACUGACCGAUAGUGAACCAGUACCGUGAGGGAAAGGCGAAAAGAACCCCGGCGAGGGGAGUGAAAAAGAACCUGAAACCGUGUACGUACAAGCAGUGGGAGCCUCUUUAUGGGGUGACUGCGUACCUUUUGUAUAAUGGGUCAGCGACUUAUAUUCUGUAGCAAGGUUAACCGAAUAGGGGAGCCGAAGGGAAACCGAGUCUUAACUGGGCGUUAAGUUGCAGGGUAUAGACCCGAAACCCGGUGAUCUAGCCAUGGGCAGGUUGAAGGUUGGGUAACACUAACUGGAGGACCGAACCGACUAAUGUUGAAAAAUUAGCGGAUGACUUGUGGCUGGGGGUGAAAGGCCAAUCAAACCGGGAGAUAGCUGGUUCUCCCCGAAAGCUAUUUAGGUAGCGCCUCGUGAAUUCAUCUCCGGGGGUAGAGCACUGUUUCGGCAAGGGGGUCAUCCCGACUUACCAACCCGAUGCAAACUGCGAAUACCGGAGAAUGUUAUCACGGGAGACACACGGCGGGUGCUAACGUCCGUCGUGAAGAGGGAAACAACCCAGACCGCCAGCUAAGGUCCCAAAGUCAUGGUUAAGUGGGAAACGAUGUGGGAAGGCCCAGACAGCCAGGAUGUUGGCUUAGAAGCAGCCAUCAUUUAAAGAAAGCGUAAUAGCUCACUGGUCGAGUCGGCCUGCGCGGAAGAUGUAACGGGGCUAAACCAUGCACCGAAGCUGCGGCAGCGACACUAAGUGUUGUUGGGUAGGGGAGCGUUCUGUAAGCCUGUGAAGGUGUACUGUGAGGUAUGCUGGAGGUAUCAGAAGUGCGAAUGCUGACAUAAGUAACGAUAAAGCGGGUGAAAAGCCCGCUCGCCGGAAGACCAAGGGUUCCUGUCCAACGUUAAUCGGGGCAGGGUGAGUCGACCCCUAAGGCGAGGCCGAAAGGCGUAGUCGAUGGGAAACAGGUUAAUAUUCCUGUACUUGGUGUUACUGCGAAGGGGGGACGGAGAAGGCUAUGUUGGCCGGGCGACGGUUGUCCCGGUUUAAGCGUGUAGGCUGGUUUUCCAGGCAAAUCCGGAAAAUCAAGGCUGAGGCGUGAUGACGAGGCACUACGGUGCUGAAGCAACAAAUGCCCUGCUUCCAGGAAAAGCCUCUAAGCAUCAGGUAACAUCAAAUCGUACCCCAAACCGACACAGGUGGUCAGGUAGAGAAUACCAAGGCGCUUGAGAGAACUCGGGUGAAGGAACUAGGCAAAAUGGUGCCGUAACUUCGGGAGAAGGCACGCUGAUAUGUAGGUGAAGCGACUUGCUCGUGGAGCUGAAAUCAGUCGAAGAUACCAGCUGGCUGCAACUGUUUAUUAAAAACACAGCACUGUGCAAACACGAAAGUGGACGUAUACGGUGUGACGCCUGCCCGGUGCCGGAAGGUUAAUUGAUGGGGUUAGCGGUAACGCGAAGCUCUUGAUCGAAGCCCCGGUAAACGGCGGCCGUAACUAUAACGGUCCUAAGGUAGCGAAAUUCCUUGUCGGGUAAGUUCCGACCUGCACGAAUGGCGUAAUGAUGGCCAGGCUGUCUCCACCCGAGACUCAGUGAAAUUGAACUCGCUGUGAAGAUGCAGUGUACCCGCGGCAAGACGGAAAGACCCCGUGAACCUUUACUAUAGCUUGACACUGAACAUUGAGCCUUGAUGUGUAGGAUAGGUGGGAGGCUUUGAAGUGUGGACGCCAGUCUGCAUGGAGCCGACCUUGAAAUACCACCCUUUAAUGUUUGAUGUUCUAACGUUGGCCCCUGAUCGGGGUUGCGGACAGUGUCUGGUGGGUAGUUUGACUGGGGCGGUCUCCUCCUAAAGAGUAACGGAGGAGCACGAAGGUUGGCUAAUCCUGGUCGGACAUCAGGAGGUUAGUGCAAUGGCAUAAGCCAGCUUGACUGCGAGCGUGACGGCGCGAGCAGGUGCGAAAGCAGGUCAUAGUGAUCCGGUGGUUCUGAAUGGAAGGGCCAUCGCUCAACGGAUAAAAGGUACUCCGGGGAUAACAGGCUGAUACCGCCCAAGAGUUCAUAUCGACGGCGGUGUUUGGCACCUCGAUGUCGGCUCAUCACAUCCUGGGGCUGAAGUAGGUCCCAAGGGUAUGGCUGUUCGCCAUUUAAAGUGGUACGCGAGCUGGGUUUAGAACGUCGUGAGACAGUUCGGUCCCUAUCUGCCGUGGGCGCUGGAGAACUGAGGGGGGCUGCUCCUAGUACGAGAGGACCGGAGUGGACGCAUCACUGGUGUUCGGGUUGUCAUGCCAAUGGCACUGCCCGGUAGCUAAAUGCGGAAGAGAUAAGUGCUGAAAGCAUCUAAGCACGAAACUUGC
RNAcentral lists this ribosomal RNA (2420 nucleotides) under Escherichia coli. Its description in RNAcentral is "partial 23S ribosomal RNA". It matches the Rfam family "Bacterial large subunit ribosomal RNA", at positions 392 to 2797 of the family's 2925-position model. The record is from RNAcentral. Lineage: Bacteria; Pseudomonadati; Pseudomonadota; Gammaproteobacteria; Enterobacterales; Enterobacteriaceae.